RNAcentral lists this transfer RNA (72 nucleotides) under Saccoglossus kowalevskii. RNAcentral describes it as "tRNA-His". It matches the Rfam family "tRNA". Rfam says of the family: Transfer RNA (tRNA) molecules are approximately 80 nucleotides in length. Their secondary structure includes four short double-helical elements and three loops (D, anti-codon, and T loops). The record is from RNAcentral. Lineage: Eukaryota; Metazoa; Hemichordata; Enteropneusta; Harrimaniidae.
GCCGUGAUCGUCUAGUGGUUAGGACAUUGCGUUGUGACUGCAAUAACCCAGGUUCGAAUCCUGGUCUCGGCA